ACAGCCGGAACUACGGUCGGAAAUACAGUCGGAACUACGGUCGGAACUACGGUCGGAACUACGGUCGGAACUACGGUCGGAAAUACAGUCGGAACUACGGUCGGAACUACGGUCGGAACUACGGUCGGAAAUACAGUCGGAAAUACAGUCGGAAAUACAGUCGGAACUACGGUCGGAAAUACAGUCGGAAAUACAGUCGGAACUACAGUCGGAACUACAGCCGGAACUACGGUCGGAAAUACGGUCGGAACUACGGUCGGAACUACGGUCAGAAAUGUAAAUUAGCAUUAUAUUUAAUUGUUCAUUUGGCAACUAGUCUUUUUUCUAUGUUACAGGGAUAAUGUUAAUAACUCUGCUAUUUUUAUUUUUAAAUUAAGAUAUUCAAUCCU
Long non-coding RNA from Notothenia coriiceps (black rockcod), 389 nucleotides. RefSeq lists it as uncharacterized. The record is from RefSeq and is a predicted model, not a curated record. Lineage: Eukaryota; Metazoa; Chordata; Actinopteri; Perciformes; Nototheniidae. The transcript has 2 exons.